RNAcentral lists this ribosomal RNA (368 nucleotides) under uncultured bacterium. Its description in RNAcentral is "bacterial SSU rRNA". It matches the Rfam family "Bacterial small subunit ribosomal RNA", at positions 434 to 793 of the family's 1533-position model. The record is from RNAcentral.
CAGCAGUGAGGAAGGCAGGUACGUUAAUAGCGUGCUUGUUUGACGUUUAGCUGCAGAAGAAGCACCGGCUAACUCCGUGCCAGCAGCCGCGGUAAUACGGAGGGUGCGAGCGUUAAUCGGAAUUACUGGGCGUAAAGCGCAUGCAGGUGGUUUGUUAAGUCAGAUGUGAAAGCCCCGGGGCUCAACCUCGGAAUUGCAUUUUGAAACUGGCAGACUAGAGUACUGUAGAGGGGGUAGAAUUUCAGGUGUAGCGGUGAAAUGCGUAGAGAUCUGAAGGAAUACCGGUGGCGAAGGCGGCCCCCCUGGACAGAUACUGACACUCAGAUGCGAAAGCGUGGGGAGCAAACAGGAUUAGAUACCCCUGGUAG